GCCCAAAAGGAAACACAUGUAAAGUUGGAGCCAAACAAAGUGUUGUUACUGAGGAGAUUAGAACUCUUAAAAAUGAACUAAGUACUUUGCACAUGGACAAGAAGAAAAAUAUCUUCAGGUCAUCUCAAAGAUAGCAAAUCCCCAGCCAUCAGAGAUUCAAUGAUCCAAAAAUGUUGAGCUUUCGUUUGAGAAGAGUAAACCUUGGAACCCUUCUUGAGAACAGCCUAGUAGGGGAAUUGGUCCUCCAGGAUUCAUUUCACAGAGAAGCCAUGGCAGCUGUGGUCAAAGGGACCUGCAUGUUACUCUGGCUGGCAGAAGAUCUUGGCAUUGUCCAUGUGAUGCUGGUUUUAUCAGCGUGCAGCAUGUAAGAGUUGUGGGAUCAAAGAGGCUCCAACCAGAUUCCAAAGGAAGCCCUAAAAGGACUGGCAUGGAGCCCCUGAAAGAGAAGUGCCUGAAACAGGGAGAAUGAAGCCAAAAAUAUGGUAGAGACUUCAGGAAACUGGAGCUACUAGGGACAUGGAAAGUCUGAGGAGUGACAAUGCAGACCACAAAUGGAGUCAGUCUAAGAGAGAGGCCAUGUGAGCUGCAGCCAUCAAGACCACCGGGGUAAGGUCGUCCGAUAUCUCACGAUUUUGAGCUUCAAACAUUGCAGAUGGAUAAUGUUUGCCCUGGUCAGUCUGAUGUUCACUGCCAAGAGUUUGCCCUGGGUCUCAGAAGAGACUUGGACUUGGACUUUUAAGUAAUGCUGGAACUGCUGAGACUUUGGGGAGAGAAUGACUACAUUUCUGUCUGUAUGCAGUUGUAUCAUGUUGGAUGGAAUUACAAACUUGCUGUUGUCUUUAUUUGGAGGUUAAGCAUGGUUGGAGAUGUUGUCUGGCUUUCUAGUUGACAAGGAUUGUAACACUAAUUAUUAUAUGGCAAUUUGACCAGGGCAGGAGGCUGAGGAGGAUCGCUGCAAAUUUGAGGCCAGCCUGGGCUACAAAAUGAGUGUACUGCUACCCUCAUCUCCAUAGUGAAACAUUGUCUCAAACAAAAUAAAACAAAAACAAAAAUAAAAACAAAAACAAAGAAUUUCCCAGGGGAUUAGUCAAGUACAUUUUCGAGUAUGUCUGGUGGGUCAUGAGAUCAUGAUCUUGGGUACUAUAUUUAAUUCCUGGCUGUUUCCUCCCUGAGAUGGUUUCUGUUGCUCUGUCAACAACUAAAUAUCUUUGCUUUGCCAAAGCCUCUCCCCAUGACACCACUGCUUCAGAGUGAGCCAGUAGUGAAACCUCUGAGACCAUGAGCCAAACAAACCUCUCCAUGAAGCAGUAGGAGUUGCAUAUCUGGUUCCAGCAUGGGAGAGCAGACCUGUACCGGCAGUUGGGUGAGUGGAAGCAGGGAUACAGUUGAGGGCAAAUCCAGAAUGUCAAGAGAGGGUGCCGGGCUAUGAAAAACUGGUGCUGUCCUUUGUAAUGCUUCCUUGACUGCAAACUUCUUGGUGUGUCCUGCCUUGGGUCAUGGCUCUCUUUUCUUAUAUCCAAUACAGAUUCUGUCCUUUUCUUUCUCUUGUUCCACAUCAGGUUGAUGAUGCCCAUAGAGAAGCUUGAGCAGUAUCCAGAGAAAGCAGAUGUGGGAUGGAGAGCUUAGGGGAGGUGACAGGUGCUCUUUCUCCUGGACACAUUUUAAGUGGUCCAAAUUCUUUUUUUGCUUUUCUUCACUGUCAGAGACAUAAGAUCUUCAAGAUUUAAAUUUUAAGUGAAAAAGAAAAAAAGGCCAGAGUGGUUCUUUAAUCUGCUUUAAAUCUAAUAAGCAAAAGUAAUUCUCCUGUUCACAUAGGAUGUUGGGCCACUGAUCUGAGUGAAGCAUCCCAGAAAGGAGUUGAAGACCACACGCUACAGCAAUGACCACUACCAGAACUGCAGUCCACAGCUCACAUAGAUCUUGAAGGUUCAUGGUCCCUACUCUUUCUCCUUCCUUUAGGCACAGCUAAUAUGUCCCUAGUCCACUGAUAUCUGUAUUUUAACAGAUAAAUUUUUAUUUUAACAUUGUUCCUCCUCAAAAAAGUGGGAAUUUUAAAAAAGGAGCAAUUUCUAUUUUUGAUUCUUCCUUUCAUUUUUAUCACCACCUCAAAAACAAAAAAAAUUAAAUAAUACUUAAAAACUAAAAAGUAGGGAAGAGUCUGAGAAGAUGGCAAAACAGUAAAUAGCAGAGUAAACAGCCUCUCUGAAACGCCCAGAUGCUGGAUGUCUUCAUUGCUUUUUACUCAUCGCUGAGACAGAAAACCUGAAGCCCAAAGUUUGGAAGGGAAAGGUUUAUUUCUUACAGUUUUUGGAGGUUUCAGUCCAUACUCAGUUGGCUCCAAGGCAAGCUGGCAUGGCGGGCCGCAGUUCAUGGCGGCUGCAAACAGCAAGCAGAAACCGGCAAAAGAGCAAGACACACCUCCUUCUUGCUAUUACAUCACAUCCUGGCUCCACCCCUCUGUGGGUGUGGCACUGAUGCCAUCAAUCCAAGCAAUAGACAGUGAACCAAUCACAAAUGCACAAUGCAAACUCAUGAGGCCUGGGCACCACAGACAUAAACCAUGACACUGGAAUAAAGCAUUCUGGAGAAGACAAGAAGGAAAGAAGUGAGUUCCCUUAACCCAGGAAGAAACUACAGUGAGAACUGAAGCCACUUCAUUCAGCCACUCCUAGCACAGAGAAAAGAAAAAAUAAAAGAAAGAAAGAAAAGAAAAACUUAAACAGAAGGUGGUAACUGGUGGCAGUUUCACUAGAACCAGUCCCACUAUGAGAGAAGCACCGUUGGAAUCCAGAGAACUUACAGUCACAGUGAAUCUGGUGGCUGGCAAGCUAAAACGCUUCAGCAGGGAGACACAGUGGUGGAGGGGAGCAGCAGACCAGAGAACUGCACAAGCUGGUGGUGGGUGUGGGGGACUCAGUCCUCCUGCAGAAGCGGGUGAUUGGCUGGGCCCCAUUUUGGAGUUGGGCAGAAUAAGCCCGGAACCAGAAUUGCAGCCAGCUUCAUUCAGCCACUCCUAGCACAGAGCAGACUUUGGGAAAUUGCUUGGACUGAGUCACAUCACUGUGCAUCGUCCAUUAGCCCCCGUGAAGGUUUCCCUAAAGCUAUCCCUAACCAACCCUGCCCACCGGCACAUACUAACGUGGUGAAGACUCCCUGUGGUUAACCAGCUCAGAAGGGAAGGGCCAGCCUGAUUCACCCCUGCUUACACUCCAGUAGUCACCAGCAGAUUGGGAAAAGCAGCGCACAGCAGAAAUCCCUGGCCAACACACUUCAGAGUAAUUUUAAUAUAGGAAGUGCCAGGGAUCCCAUUACCCACUUGUCCAGAAGAAACCAAGUACAUGAAAAGAGGAAGAAACAAAAGGCAGUCUCUAGCCUCCAUUGCAAGCAGUCCUGGCCCAGGAGAUGUAAACAUAGAAGAGAUCGGGAGUUGCAUACCUGAAGUUUCUGAAGUAACAGCAACUGAAAUAAAGAAACAACUUCAUGAAGCUAUAAGAACAGAAAUACUAUUACAGGUAAAAGAAGAUAUAAGAAACAUAAUCAAACAAUUGCUAAGCACCCCUGAAGAAGACACAAAUGGAAGAACAGAGGAGCAUAGAAAAAGGAGGGAAACCUUCAAUGAAGAAUAUAAAAAAAUUUAGAAUACAUAAAACAGGUUCAAAGAGAUUACCAGAAAAUUAAAAACGCCAUUGAAAGCUGGCAAAACUGCUUGAAAGAAACUAAAGAUAGACUAUCGAACCUUGUAGACAGGUUUGCAGCUUGGAAUUGUGAAAGAAAAGAUCUCUUAAAAAUGACAAGGAAUCAGGAAGUAACAAUACAAAGGCUAGAAGAUGACAAGAGGAUCUAUAACUUAAGAAUUAAAAAUGUGAAUGAAGAAGCAGGGGUAAACACAUAGGAAAUAGAAAGGCUAUUCACAGAAGUAAGUAAGGAAAACUUCUCAAGCAUAAGAAAAGGAAAUAAUAUUCAGAUAAAAGAGGAAUACAGAACUCCAGCCAGCUAUAACCAAAAUAGAUCUAUACCCAGAGAUAUAAUAAUUAAGAUCCCAGAGAUUCAACACAAGAACAGAAUAUUAAAAGAUGUCAGAGAAGAGAAUCAGAUGAUCUAUAAAGGAAAACCAUCAGAAUCAUGACAGACUUCUCAACACAAACCAUAAAAUCAAGAAGAGCUUGGAGUGAAGUAUUCCAAGUUCUGAAAGAAAAUAAUCUCCAACCCAGAUGGAUGUACCCUGAAAAACUAUCUCUCAAAAUUAAUGGAGAAACAAGAUGCUUCUAUAACAAAGAGGAACUGGGGGAAUUCAUGACCAGUAAACCAAUCCUACAAAAUAUACUGAAGGACAUGCUAGAAAGAAAGAAAAAAGACCACGGUUUCAUGAACAGUGGCAGAGGGGGUUCACUGAACAGGGAAGACAGUGGACUGAAGGGGCAAAGUAGACAACCAGUGGUAGAAAAAUAGCAUGACAGAGAUGAGGCAGAGAAGGUUGGCCAUAAUCACUAAUAUAGAUGGCCUCGAUACACCAAUAAAAAGACACCCAGGCAGAGUGGAUCAGAAGAUAGGGUCCAUCAAAGUGCUCUAUAUUAGAAAUAUAUUUAACCUGAGAGAGGGUUUAUACACUGAAAGUCAAAGAUGAGAAAGCAAUGCUCUAUGGGACAGGGAACCAGAAAAAAAGUGGGAGUAGCUUGACUAUCAGCUGUAGAUUGGUUGGAAAGCCAUGACGCUUUUAUUCAAUGGAAAACUGCUCAGUUAUAAAGAAAGAAAACCUUGAGGCUCUUGUAGGUAAACGGAUACAACUUGAGAUAAUGCUCAGGUGUAAAAAGGUUCAGAAUUACUUAGGAGAAUAGCAGGUUGUCUCUCUAAUUUAAAACUAAAGGAGUUAGUGAGAGAAUGUACAAUGCACCCUGUGAACAUGAAAGGGGAGGAAUUGCCUAAAUAGGGAAGGCAGUGGCCAUGGUUAAUCUUGUAUCAUGAUUUGAAACCCAUAUUGUUUUCAUGGCUCUGUUUAGUUUGAUCUUAUUCUGUUCCAGUUUGUCUACUUGUACUAGAUUUGAUGGCACGGACAGCUAUUCCAAAGAUAGCAGGAUAUAUUAUGGUAAUCAUGUUUAAUAUCCUAUUAACUUGAUUUAAAGCCUUGUAUUGGUUUCACUGUCUUGUUUUGACUGGUUUUAUUUGAAUCUGUUUUAUUUGAUAGUAUCAAGUCUGAGGGUACAGGCAACUACUUUGAAGACAGUAAGAUUCACUAUGAUACCCAUUCUGGUUUGACUAUUAUCUUUUUUGAAGUUCUUCAAUGUCUCCAAUGUUUUGUUUUUAUUGGUUUUGUUCUGUACUAUUGUGUUCAAUUUUAUUAUGCCUGAUGAUAUGGGCAAUUCCUUUGAAGAUAACAAGAGGCAUUAUGAUAACCAUUGUUGAUUACCUUGUAUUUGUUCUUAAGUCAUGUACUAUGUCCAUCCUUUUAUUUUGACUGACUCUAUUUUGUUUUGUCUCAUUUGGUUUUAUUCUCUUCAAAAAAAACCUAACAAGUAAGGAUUUCAGGUAAGUAGUGCUAAGAUUUGAGAAUCAAAGGCUUUUCAAACUCUCAAAUUGCAUCACUUUGGUGCUUCUCACCAUAUGUCAUGGUUUAUGCUGGUGGCCCCCAGGCCUCAUGCUUUGCAUUAUGCAUUUGUGAUUGGUUCACUGUAUAGUGCAUGGAUUGAUGGUGUCAGUGCUACACCCACCUAGGGGUGGAGCCAGGAUGUGAUGUAAUGGCAGGAAGAAGAUGUGUCUUGCUCUCUUGAUGGUUUCUGCCUUGCUGUUUGCAGCUGCCAUGAACUGUGGCCAUGCCAUGCCACCCCGCCUUGGAGCCAACUGAGUAUGGACUGAAACCUCCAAAAACUGUAAGAAAUAAAUCUUUCCUUUCCCAACUUUGGGCUUCAGGUGUUUUGUCUCAGCAGUGAGUAAAAAGUAACUAAGACACCAUAUUGACAAAUAAUCACACCUAGAAGGACAUCCUUUAAGACUGUGUCCACUGUGCCCCAAAUUCUGCAAGCAACAAGUUCAGGCGGGAUUAGUCAGAAGAAGUGGCGGUGAUCACCAGUGGAAACUCUCUUUCCUGCUAAAACAGUGGAUUAACAACAUGUGCUACAUGGGUUGGGAAGAUGACUGAAUUAGUUAGCUUAGAAUUAAAUCACAAUUCACUCUUGCUUCUCACAGGGGUAGGAGAGACGAGAAACAAAGCAGUGAAGGAACAAACCUGUACCUGGUGGCUUAAUUAACUCAUACUCAUUUCCAAGCUGUAACUCAUAGUCUGUAUUCUUUCAAUAUGUUCGUGACAUCUUAGGUGUUCUCCAAGGAACAAAACCAUUGUAUGGAAGAAUUGUUAUAUGACACAGGGCUGCUAUUUCCACUACUGUGGAGCCUGCCAGAAUGGGCUCGGAUCUAUGACUUAAUGUAGCACAGAACAGAAAGGAAGGAGUUGAGCUUGGAGAGUAAAGAAUGAAUGCACAGUCUGAGGGAAAAAGAGAUCUUAUUGGAUAAGAAAGAUGAGUGAACACCAGCAUUUGGUGCUGCAGGUGAGCAGAACAGAGGUAACUGCAUGACUGGAGUUGGUGGUGAAGAGAGCACGAAUUUACAAACCAGCUACUGUGUUCCUGAGGGUUUGCACAUUUGCAAACAUGACAGAUGCGCAGAAGGGCCAGGAGCCCCCAGGUAGAGCUUUUAAGAUUAUCGUGUGAAUCCACGAGGAGUGUCUUUGGAUGUGGACUCACUUGAGCUUAUUUCUUGCACCAAGGUUGAAAACGUUCAUGUAACUAUUGCUACACUGAAGAGGCAAGAGCAACUGCAGGAAUAUGCUGCAGUUUUUGUCUCGGGUUCUUCUGACUGGUUUUGCCUUUGCUCUCACCCUUUCUGAUUAUUCAAGCUUAUACUAUGCAUCACUGAGGAAACGGGAGCCCUAUAGGAGUCACAGCUUUCCCUGUCCACGUGUUACUAUGGAGCCUGUUUUGUGGGGAGAGAAGUGACAGGGUCCAGGUUCAAGGUGGAGAGUUCACAGCAGAACUGGAUGGGAGGCUUAGCACCAUGCCUGUGUGGGCAGCCUGCUGUUCUGGUUCCCACCUCCCUGGCUGCAGGAGAGGAGGCUGCCUCUUGUCUCCCUGCUGUGUCACUUAGCACCUUCCUCCCUGGCUUCCCUCAAAGCCACUGUGUGUUAAAAAGCUUCCCCUUGUCACUUAAUCUGUACCAGGGAAGGAGAGGACUGGCAUCCAUUCUUGGCCUCAGUUAUCUGGGGUUCUUUUUCCAGUGCAUCUCCAAGCAAGUGGCCUGUCCUGAUCCCUGAGGUCUCACCUUAGCCUCUGAAGUGAGUAUAGUGUGACUUUUUUUCAGUGUUCCCUGCCAUAUCUCAGGAAGGAACACAUACACAGAAAGAAACAGAGAGAGAGAGAGAGAGAGAGAGAGAGAGAGAGAGAGAGAGAGAGAGAGAAGAAAGAAAGAAAGAAAGAAAGAAAGAAAGAAAGAAAGAAAAAGCAAGGGAGCCAUGGUCAUUCUUGUGUUUACACAUGACCUCUCAAGCUGCUUGGAUUGGAUUGUUACUCCUGCUUAUUUGUUGAAAUUAAUAAAGAA
This is a long non-coding RNA of Cavia porcellus (domestic guinea pig), 7584 nucleotides long. RefSeq lists it as uncharacterized. The record is from RefSeq and is a predicted model, not a curated record. The transcript is spliced from 3 exons. Lineage: Eukaryota; Metazoa; Chordata; Mammalia; Rodentia; Caviidae.